Molecule: unclassified non-coding RNA, 1968 nt
Filed under: Daphnia magna
Lineage: Eukaryota; Metazoa; Arthropoda; Branchiopoda; Diplostraca; Daphniidae
Description: uncharacterized LOC116928962, transcript variant X1
Source: RNAcentral
CUUCACCACGUCUUUAAUUGCAGCAAUCAAUGGGAGGUGGCCACAGCUCUGAUCUCAUUCUUUUGUGCGAUCGCACUGAUUGGCGUCAUGGCUGCUAAUAUUGAAAGAAUUGAGGAAGACUGGUAUUGCCUCUAUCGGUUUGUCCGCAGAGACCACUGCACAGUCCAACACGCUCUCGAUGGCGUAAUACUUUUCGGUGGGUGUUUGGCAUGUGUUAUCAACGGAGCCCUGAGCUUCAUUUCUUGCUACUGUUACAACUGAGACCACCAAAACCGGUAUACAAUUUAAAACACCAACAUGCCAAUUUUUUUUUUUUUAAAGAAAACAAUGGAGCCAAAUGAUUCAACAUAAACUAUUUUUCGUUAACGUACGGAUUCCCACGAAAGGUUCUUUUUAUCACAGUGUUUGUACCCGUAACACCUGUCAUCUGGGUUGCAUGGAUUGUCAUAAUACAUCAUACACAAUUACCAAAAGAAAUUCAUUUUCCCUCUUAAAUAAGCUACACCCAGCUGAAAGAAAAUUGUAAUUAAUACCUCAAAAUGUCUUCUGCUGCAAGAUCGACUAGUACAUAAGACUUCCUUUCAUCGAGGAAAACUAAUUUCGAAUUGCUAUCGAAACACGACGUCCAACUUAAAAUGAAAGCAUUUGGCGUCACCGUAAUAAUCAAAUAUUAAAAACGCUAACUAGAAAACGGGGCCAAGGAUAACAAGCAACAAGGGAGAGCGAAAGGAAAUUUGGCAUUAUUUGCGGAGAAGAAGAAAGGCGCAUUGCACUUUUCGUAAAGGACAAAAAUUACACUGCACUGUACAAACAACAGCUACGUGCGCAAAUGCAAACACCUUAAAGCCCUUAGCAUAAAUAUUUUGCAAUCAAAGCAAUUAGUUUUUCUUCAGACAAAACGAUGACAUCUCGCUUCGAAAAGAAACACUUUUGUUGAUCGGCGUGUGGGACGUGAAUUACAUCAUCCUACCAUAUCUUAUAGAUUACGAUGGCUCGAGAAUUUUCGAAAAAGUUGUCGACCCGUUAAAUUAGAUUUCGAUAAACGAGUACGCAUUCAAGUGAAUCACUACGCCUAACGGAAUCCAAUGCGAAAAUGCCAGUAUGCAUACACGUCAGAAAACCGCAUCCUUUCUCUAUUCAACGCGUGUUGUAGUAGACAUUUGGUUUCCGUUACGACAAAGAUUACAAUACGCGUAAUGUCAUUGUGCCAGUCGACGGUGGAAAAAGAUGUCGAUUCCACUACGCAUCUGUUCGGCUUGUAACCUCAUUUUGGCCCUCAUCGUUCUACUCGUACAGUCUAUGAUACUAAGCAACUACAAAAACCUACAAGUUAAGACUUACUCUCAGUACACCGCGGUGGGAAUAUGGACUGCCUUGCUGCUGGCAUGUAACGGGGCCAGCAUGUUGCUCUACUUGAAGCGCAAGUUUUUGUGCAAACCCCAACAAAUGUUCGCAUGCUUUACACAAACAUUUUGCUUCACGACGCGAAAACGAAACUGUCCUUUCUUUCUCUCUCCCUAAAAUAAUAAGAAUAGGUACAUGGUUAGUCUUUUCCUCUGCAUUGCAACGCUCUUGGCCGGCAUUUUUACUAUCGGCAUUGCGGCUGGAACUUUCUACGGCCUUUUAUCGGAAUCUCCGGCACCUCAGUCGGCCUUCAAAUUGUCUCAACUAGGUUAUUCUUUUUGCAUUUCUUCCAAAACAGAUGAAUUUACUUCUUUGAAAGCAUUGGAGGGCACCCUAUUCGGAUGUGGUCUUGCAUCGAUAUUCGUUAAUUCCCUAUCUAUAAUGUUUCUACAUUUAGAAAAGCUCAUGUUGCGCGAAGAAACUGUUUCGCCCGGUUCGCUUCCAACUCGAAAUUUCAACAGAUAUUGAAAAAGAAAAAAAGAAUAAAUCUAAUUAUUUCCAUCACUUUAAUUUGUGCGCAUCUUUGCCUACUUUAUGAAAAUAUAAAGAUGGGCACGAAACGUU